AGGGGAUUAGGAACAUUAAUUCGUACAGUGGGGAACUCAGUACCAGAAGAAGGGAUGAGGAAGACCUAUCGAUAAGGGGCAGAGUACAUAUCAUAUGAUGCAAAUAUAUAUUUGCUUUUCCUUAAAACAGUACAAAGAUAAAAACUAAAGUGGUUGCUGUGGAGGACAGGGGUCAGUGGUGGAAGUGAGACUGAAAUAGACUCUGAAGUAAUAUCUGGACUUUGAAAUUGUGCCAACCCUGAGACCAAAAUUUGGAAGGUGGCCCUGAGCAGCAGCUGAAGGGAAGCAGGAGGUGAGACAGGAAAGAGGUGAGGGCACGGGGUGUCUGGGAGCCGGGUCCCACGUGGGCAGCUGGGCCCGUGCUCAUUGUGGGAGCUGGUGCAUUCCUUCACCAGCCCACGCUCCACAGGGUCAGGAUGGUCAAUUCCGGGCACCCCCGGCCUAAUCCAGGACGUGCUCCUGCCACCAGAGAAAGCCCCUAGGCAGCGUCCCGGGUGCUGGUGGUGUCAGAAUCAAGUUUGAGUCUGAGGAGUGACCUGGGGCUGGCUGGGCUAGGCAGCAUCACAG
RNAcentral lists this long non-coding RNA (567 nucleotides) under Pan troglodytes (chimpanzee). RNAcentral describes it as "long non-coding RNA NONPTRT013357". The record is from RNAcentral. Lineage: Eukaryota; Metazoa; Chordata; Mammalia; Primates; Hominidae.